RNAcentral lists this ribosomal RNA (856 nucleotides) under uncultured bacterium. RNAcentral describes it as "bacterial SSU rRNA". It matches the Rfam family "Bacterial small subunit ribosomal RNA", at positions 22 to 877 of the family's 1533-position model. The record is from RNAcentral.
GCUCAGAAUCAACGCGGGCGGCGUGCCUAACACAUGCAAGUCGAACGAGAAAGUGGGGGCAACCCCAUGAGUAAAGUGGCAGACGGGUGAGUAACACGUGAACAACCUACCCUCGAGUGUGGGAUAACACCGCGAAAGCGGUGCUAAUACCGCAUAAUAUCUUCGGGUCGCAUGAUUUGAAGAUCAAAAGCGCAAGUUGCUUGAGGAGGGGUUCGCGCCUGAUUAGCUAGUUGGUGAGGUAACGGCCCACCAAGGCUUCGAUCAGUAGCCGGCCUGAGAGGGCGAACGGCCACACUGGAACUGAGACACGGUCCAGACUCCUACGGGAGGCAGCAGUGGGGAAUUUUGCGCAAUGGGCGAAAGCCUGACGCAGCAACGCCGCGUGGAGGAUGAAGGCCUUCGGGUCGUAAACUCCUGUCAGUAGGGACGAAUGCCUCGCAAGAGGUUUGACUGUACCUGCUGAGGAAGCCACGGCUAACUCCGUGCCAGCAGCCGCGGUAAUACGGAGGUGGCAAGCGUUGUUCGGAAUUACUGGGCGUAAAGGGCGCGUAGGCGGUAUUGCAAGUCAGAUGUGAAAGCCCCGAGCUUAACUCGGGAAUUGCAUCUGAAACUGCUUUGCUUGAGUCCUGGAGGGGGUAGUGGAAUUCCCAGUGUAGCGGUGAAAUGCGUAGAUAUUGGGAGGAACACCUGCGGCGAAGGCGGCUACCUGGACAGUGACUGACGCUGAGGCGCGAAAGCUAGGGGAGCGAACGGGAUUAGAUACCCCGGUAGUCCUAGCUGUAAACGAUGGGCACUUGGUGUUGGGGGUAUUGAGUCCCUCGGUGCCGGAGUUAACACGUUAAGUGCCCCGCCUGGG